This 1647-nucleotide ribosomal RNA is filed under the name Candidatus Venteria ishoeyi. RNAcentral describes it as "bacterial LSU rRNA". It matches the Rfam family "Bacterial large subunit ribosomal RNA", at positions 3 to 1714 of the family's 2925-position model. The record is from RNAcentral. Lineage: Bacteria; Pseudomonadati; Pseudomonadota; Gammaproteobacteria; Thiotrichales; Thiotrichaceae.
UCAAGUGAAUAAGCGCAUACGGUGGAUGCCUUGGCGACAACAGGCGAUGAAGGACGUAGUAGCUUGCGAUAAGCCCCGGCGAGCCAGCAAACAGGCUUUGACCCGAGGAUUUCCGAAUGGGGGAACCCGGCCAGCAAUGGUCACUAAUAUCUGAAUACAUAGGGUAUUAGAGCGAACCUGGAGAACUGAAACAUCUAAGUAACCAGAGGAAAAGAAAUCAACCGAGAUUCCCAAAGUAGCGGCGAGCGAAAUGGGAACAGCCCUUAAGCUUAUAUAGUCUUAGUAGAAGUGUCUGGAAAGUCACACCACAGAGAGUGAUAGUCUCGUAUACGAAAAGGCAAUUUAAGUGAAAUCGAGUAGGGCGGAGCACGAGAAACUCUGUCUGAACAUGGGGGGACCAUCCUCCAAGGCUAAAUACUCGUUGUCGACCGAUAGUGAACCAGUACCGUGAGGGAAAGGCGAAAAGAACCCCUGAUAGGGGAGUGAAAUAGAACCUGAAACCGUAUGCGUACAAGCAGUGGGAGCACCUUUAUGGUGUGACUGCGUACCUUUUGUAUAAUGGGUCAGCGACUUAUAUCUCAGUAGCAAGCUUAACCGAAUAGGGGAGGCGUAGGGAAACCGAGUCUUAAUAGGGCGUCAAGUUGCUGGGAAUAGACCCGAAACCGAGCGAUCUAGCCAUGGGCAGGUUGAAGGUCAGGUAACACUGACUGGAGGACCGAACCCACUUAUGUUGAAAAAUGAGGGGAUGACCUGUGGCUAGGAGUGAAAGGCUAAUCAAGCUCGGAGAUAGCUGGUUCUCCUCGAAAGCUAUUGAGGUAGCGCCUCGUGUCUCACUCCUGGGGGUAGAGCACUGUUUGGGCUAGGGGGUCAUCUCGACUUACCAACCCCAUGCAAACUCCGAAUACCAGGAAGUGCAAUCACGGGAGACACACGGCGGGUGCUAACGUCCGUCGUGGAGAGGGAAACAACCCAGACCGCCAGCUAAGGUCCCAAAAUUACAGCUCAGUGGGAAACGAUGUGGAAAGGCCCAGACAGCCAGGAGGUUGGCUUAGAAGCAGCCACCCUUUAAAGAAAGCGUAAUAGCUCACUGGUCGAGUCGGUCUGCGCGGAAGAUAUAACGGGGCUAAGCUGUAUACCGAAGCUGCGGAUGCCGCAAGGCAUGGUAGAGGAGCGUUCUGUACGCCUGCGAAGGUGAGUUGAAAAGCUUGCUGGAGGUAUCAGAAGUGCGAAUGCUGACAUGAGUAACGACAAUGUGGGUGAAAAACCCACACGCCGAAAACCCAAGGUUUCCUGCGCAACGUUAAUCGGCGCAGGGUGAGUCGACCCCUAAGGCGAGGCAGAAAUGCGUAGUCGAUGGGAAACUGGUUAAUAUUCCAGUACCACUUAAUACUGCGAUGAGGGGACGGAGAAGGCUAAAUCAUCCAACUGUUGGAAUAGUUGGUUCAAGGUAGUAGGCAGAUAACUUAGGCAAAUCCGGGUUAUCAAUGCUGAGAGCUGAUGACGAGCACCUUUAUGGAGCGAAGUGAUUGAUGCCAUGCUUCCAGGAAAAGCCUCUAAGCAUAGGUAUUAAGUGAUCGUACCCCAAACCGACACAGGUGGGUAGGGAGAGAAUCCUAAGGCGCUUGAGAGAACUCUGGUGAAGGAACU